This 607-nucleotide ribosomal RNA is filed under the name Staphylococcus aureus. RNAcentral's name for it is "partial 23S ribosomal RNA". It matches the Rfam family "Bacterial large subunit ribosomal RNA", at positions 2302 to 2910 of the family's 2925-position model. The record is from RNAcentral. Lineage: Bacteria; Bacillati; Bacillota; Bacilli; Caryophanales; Staphylococcaceae.
GGAGGCGCUCAAAGGUUCCCUCAGAAUGGUUGGAAAUCAUUCAUAGAGUGUAAAGGCAUAAGGGAGCUUGACUGCGAGACCUACAAGUCGAGCAGGGUCGAAAGACGGACUUAGUGAUCCGGUGGUUCCGCAUGGAAGGGCCAUCGCUCAACGGAUAAAAGCUACCCCGGGGAUAACAGGCUUAUCUCCCCCAAGAGUUCACAUCGACGGGGAGGUUUGGCACCUCGAUGUCGGCUCAUCGCAUCCUGGGGCUGUAGUCGGUCCCAAGGGUUGGGCUGUUCGCCCAUUAAAGCGGUACGCGAGCUGGGUUCAGAACGUCGUGAGACAGUUCGGUCCCUAUCCGUCGUGGGCGUAGGAAAUUUGAGAGGAGCUGUCCUUAGUACGAGAGGACCGGGAUGGACAUACCUCUGGUGUACCAGUUGUCGUGCCAACGGCAUAGCUGGGUAGCUAUGUGUGGACGGGAUAAGUGCUGAAAGCAUCUAAGCAUGAAGCCCCCCUCAAGAUGAGAUUUCCCAACUUCGGUUAUAAGAUCCCUCAAAGAUGAUGAGGUUAAUAGGUUCGAGGUGGAAGCAUGGUGACAUGUGGAGCUGACGAAUACUAAUCGAUC